CUUCCUCAAAACCAGAACCAACACUUCAACACAAACAUAAAAUGGAGUCAUCACGCAAGUUCUUCCCUGCCAUAGCUGUCCUCCUCCUGCUUAUCGUCGCCACACAGCUGGCGCCAACGGAGGCGAGGGAUUGCGAGACGGCGAGCAGCAAGUUCACCGGGAUGUGCGUCAUAGCUGCCAACUGCGAGCACCUGUGCAAGGCGGAGGGGUUCUUGGGCGGCGCCUGCAGGGGCUUCCGUCGCCGCUGCAUGUGCAGCACCAUGUGCUAGGCCAAUAUAUAUAUACUGCCUUCAUCAUACAUAUGAUCACAUACGUACAGUUCAGUUCAUCAUAUAUCGUGCGUGUGAAUUAAUCCAACUGAUCGAAUCGAUCGCCCGAAAUGGGAUAUGCGUUCGCUGUUUGGAAUGCGUCUUGCUUUGAAUAAUUUUCGGCUGCACCCAUGGAAUUGUUUUUUAACUAUGGUUAAAAGAGUAGGACGGUAUGAUGUGUUUCCAGUAAA
Long non-coding RNA from Oryza brachyantha (malo sina), 499 nucleotides. RefSeq lists it as uncharacterized. The record is from RefSeq and is a predicted model, not a curated record. NCBI's taxonomy places the organism in Eukaryota, Viridiplantae, Streptophyta, Magnoliopsida, Poales, Poaceae. The transcript is spliced from 2 exons.